RNAcentral lists this transfer RNA (71 nucleotides) under Trichonephila inaurata madagascariensis. It matches the Rfam family "tRNA". Rfam says of the family: Transfer RNA (tRNA) molecules are approximately 80 nucleotides in length. Lineage: Eukaryota; Metazoa; Arthropoda; Arachnida; Araneae; Nephilidae. The record is from Rfam by way of RNAcentral.
GGGUGUAUAGCUCAGUGGUAGAGCAUUCGAUUGCAGAUCGAGAGAUCCCGGUUCGAACCCGGGUGUCCUCU